Molecule: long non-coding RNA, 931 nt
Filed under: Brassica napus (rape)
Lineage: Eukaryota; Viridiplantae; Streptophyta; Magnoliopsida; Brassicales; Brassicaceae
Description: long non-coding RNA (BNAP_LNC010339)
Source: RNAcentral
AGGGGAUAAGGAGAAUGAUUUUUUUUUAAAUAGCAUAUUGAGUUAAAGUCCGUUUUAUUUAUAAGUAUCUAAAUUCUUUUACUUUAUAUUUGAUCUAACAACAAUGAGUAUUUGAAAAAUCAAACGGAUAUAUAUUAUAUACUAGGAUCGGCCCGCCCUACGGGCGGGAUUUAUAUAUUUGUGUUAUGAUAAUUUGUUUUGUUGGUUUUGGGAUUUUAAAUAUAUGGUUGUUUAUGUAUAUGGUACAUAAACUUUUUCGGGGUUUUUGUCUUUUUUUUAACUAAUGACUCUAGGAGAGUGGUUUUGCGUUUAUGGUGUCUUUUUUUAAAGAAAAGUAGUUUAUAUAUUGUAUUUUGAUGUAUUAAUGUACUUAGAUAUCUGAUGUGUUGGAUUUAAUAUUGUCACUAUAUUGAAACGUUUAGAUGUUAUGGUUUAGGAGGGUUGUAUUAUGUUUGUGUGUUGCUAUUGAAACGCAUUUGUUGUAUAUGAAUCAUAUGAUUGAGUUACGUGGAAUUUUUUGUUGCUAUGAAAUUAUAGUUGAAUAAUAUAUUAUAAUUUUAAAUAAUAUAUUUUUUGAUGGUAAAUACUAACAAUUUUUUAAAUGAUAUGUAUCUGUAAAGAAAGUUUUUAUUUUAGAAUAUAAUAAAAUGUGAAACUAUAUAUUUAUAUAUAUAUUAUUGUUCUAUGUUUAAAUUAACACUCAAUUUACUCUUUAUAUUGUUGGAUCGGAAGUUAUUAUAAUAUAAUUCAUGUGGUGCAUCUAAUAUCGUUUUAGUAUAUCACUACUCAUAGAUUAAAUAUUUAGGAAACUAAAUCUUAAAAAUUUAUUGACUAUAGACGUGAACCUUCUUUUAGUUAACACUAGGGUCGGCCCGCCCUACGGGCGGAAUAUACCUUACUUGUGAUUUAUGUUAUUAUUUUUUAUAUAAUU